UAAGUUAAACACAUCCCACCGUCUACAUCAUGUUAAUAGUCUGUCAAUCAGAUCAACGACUCAGAUGAAAUGUUCUGCCAAGCGCCGUGGUCUGCCAAUCCUAUUAGCGCUUCGUGGCCCCUCGCGCAACACGCGGAUCACCCACCGGCCCGCAACAGGGGAAUCGAUUCCACCCGCCUCCGCCUCCGCCUCCCUCCUCUCUCCUUGCUGCCGCUAUAGGACGCCGCCGGGUCGCUAUCAUCCCUCGAGCAGCGUCGACAACGCGGGAUGCAGCGGGCUCAACUUGCAUCUGCGAUGCCGGUGUUCCUCUCCUCGGUCGAGCGUCGGCGGCGGCGGCGCGAGAUGUAGCGGGCUGAACCUGCGUCGGCGGCGACGGCGACGGGUCUCCUCCAUUCCCCUCCUCAUGUUGCCCCUCUCCUUUUCCUUGCUUUCCUGCACCGGCGGAGAGGAAGACGCCCUCGGCUUCAUGGCCUCCUCUCUAGGGCCAAGUGGUGGCUAGAGGACACUCCAGGAGGGCAGCCAAAAAAGAAGCCGAGAGAAAAGGGGAGGCAGAAGAAAUCCGCCCGCACGCUCUCGCCGUCUCGCUCUACCUGAUGGUGUUGUAAGGUCGGUCGGACAAGGGAACCCGGUUGCUGCCUAAUGUCAAACGCCUUCUCCCUGAGAAUUGAGAUCAUGCUCCCAGGCUAAAUCAACACCACUUGCUGGGAUGGAACAUGGAAAGCUAUUGGCCGCUUGCAGUCUCACAAUCUGUCAGACGCACAAGUGGAGUUUUGUUUGGCAAUGCUUUUCUAUUGAGCAUAUUAAGAGAUCGUCAUUUGUCUGUCUUUUUUAUUAAGAAAUGGCGAGUCAUUUAGUAAGAGUUUGUAACUGGUUCAAGUACAUGACUGUCAAGAAACGGUGCGUUUGACAACACAUCUUCUAUCAAGUUGCUGGGAAUGUUGCCUGUACUCCGUGACAGUGCCACAACAUUGGAUUCAUGCAUUUGAUGUCCUCUUGGAUCCAGAUUAGAAUAAAACUAAAUGUGUUCCUUUAAAUUGCGUAGUUGCCUGAUUUCAUUUUUGCAAAUAAAAAAUGUGUUCCUUUAAUUUGGUGUAUGUAUUUGUUUUCUGUAACCUAUCAUCAUUUUCUUCUUUUUUUGCGCUGAAACAAAAUGCAUUCUUUCAUAUCAAAAAUUGCAAGAGCACACGAGCUGUACACAUAUCCUUCCUUUUCGAAUCUGCAGCCGCUUGCUUUGAUUGUUAUUUUUGGAAGGGUUUAGGCGAGUACGUCACAAAGGUAACACUGAUCUGCUUCACACUUGUUAUUUUCUUCUUCUUGGUAAUUUGUAGUUCCUUUGACCUUCUAAUUUUUAUACCACUAUUCUGCAUUGCAACCUUUUCUUUAAUAGGGAGACGUGCCAAAUUUUCAGUCAAUUAUAGCGUGAAUUGCAUAACCUGCAACAUUUGCCUAUAGCCGAUAGAAUCUAUGAUCCCACCAGGGCUAUCUCUAUGAGCUAAACAAUUAUAGUACAAGACACACUCGAAUUCAGAGUUUAGAGCCUCGUGAGCAAUGUUGUAAGAGCUUAUUGAUGAUCUGCUUGUUUCUCGCAAAAUUGGGACGUGUUGGAUGGUCCAUGUGAGGCUAUCUAAAAAAAAUUCCUCUUAAUUCUGUUUUGUUUGUAUGAUGGAAUUUGAUUAGAUAAGAAGCCACAUCUGGCGGCACCGUUCGUCUCAUGGGGCCCCCAUCUCGCUGCUCCCCUGUCUCAUGGCGUCCAAUAACCAAAGUGUUUUUUUUCAAUUGGUAUUAUUUCUUUGCUGGUAAUAUUUAUUAUUGUAAAUGGUGUGAUCUGAUGAUGUAUCCUGCAUACAAUUCAGUUAAUUAAAUGAUGCAGCAGUCACUCCUGUACAAUAUGAUCUGUAGUAUACCCAGCUCUAUGUGAGGGCAAUGUGAACCAAUGUAAAGCACUAGGUUCUUCCUAAAUAGCACUUGACACUUUGUUGUGUAUUUUGGACCUAUGAAGAAUUUAGCUCUGUAGAUGCCAUUGGUUUCUGGUAUAGAUGACAUCCUUGAUGCCACAGGUGGCUUUUCUUCGAAGAUUGUAUUCUUAUUCAGUACUGUGUUGCAGUAAAGCCUUCUCAUUUGUGUACAACUGUAACGAACCAAGUGCUCUUAUUAUUUGGGCGGUAAUCUCAUGCUGCUUAAUGUGAGAGUGAAA
Molecule: long non-coding RNA, 2194 nt
Organism: Triticum urartu
Lineage: Eukaryota; Viridiplantae; Streptophyta; Magnoliopsida; Poales; Poaceae
Source: RefSeq, a predicted model, not a curated record